GGGGCUGUGGCGGAAUUGGCAGACGCGCUAGAUUUAGGAUCUAGUUCCCACAGGGAGUGCAGGUUCGAGUCCUGUCAGCCCCA
RNAcentral lists this transfer RNA (83 nucleotides) under Planctomycetaceae bacterium. Its description in RNAcentral is "tRNA-Leu". It matches the Rfam family "tRNA". From Rfam's summary of the family: Transfer RNA (tRNA) molecules are approximately 80 nucleotides in length. Their secondary structure includes four short double-helical elements and three loops (D, anti-codon, and T loops). Lineage: Bacteria; Pseudomonadati; Planctomycetota; Planctomycetia; Planctomycetales; Planctomycetaceae. The record is from RNAcentral.